This 502-nucleotide ribosomal RNA is filed under the name uncultured bacterium. Its description in RNAcentral is "bacterial SSU rRNA". It matches the Rfam family "Bacterial small subunit ribosomal RNA", at positions 29 to 505 of the family's 1533-position model. The record is from RNAcentral.
AACGAACGCUGACGGCGUGCCUAACACAUGCAAGUCGAACGAGAAAGUUCCGGUUCGCCGGGAUGAGUAAAGUGGCGCACGGGUGAGUAACGCGUGGGUAAUCUGCCUUUAGGUCUGGGAUAACACUGCGAAAGCGGUGCUAAUACCGGAUAAGCUUACGGUUUGAAAUGUCCGUGAGAAAAGAUGGCCUCUGACAUAAGCUAUCGCCUAUAGAUGAGCCCGCGUACCAUUAGCUAGUUGGUGGGGUAAAGGCCUACCAAGGCGACGAUGGUUAGCUGGUCUGAGAGGACGAUCAGCCACACUGGAACUGAGACACGGUCCAGACUCCUACGGGAGGCAGCAGUGGGGAAUAUUGCGCAAUGGGGGAAACCCUGACGCAGCGACGCCGUGUGAGUGAUGAAGGCUUUCGGGUCGUAAAGCUCUGUCGGAUGGGACGAAUAAAGGCUGUGAAAAUAUUGCAGUCUGAUGACGGUACCGUCGAAGGAAGCACCGGCUAACUCCG